RNAcentral lists this ribosomal RNA (497 nucleotides) under uncultured bacterium. Its description in RNAcentral is "partial 16S ribosomal RNA". It matches the Rfam family "Bacterial small subunit ribosomal RNA", at positions 28 to 507 of the family's 1533-position model. The record is from RNAcentral.
GAUGAACGCUGGCGGCGUGCCUAAUACAUGCAAGUCGAGCGAACAGAUGAGGAGCUUGCUCCUCUGACGUUAGCGGCGGACGGGUGAGUAACACGUGGAUAACCUACCUAUAAGACUGGGAUAACUUCGGGAAACCGGAGCUAAUACCGGAUAAUAUAUUGAACCGCAUGGUUCAAUAGUGAAAGACGGUUUUGCUGUCACUUAUAGAUGGAUCCGCGCCGCAUUAGCUAGUUGGUAGGGUAACGGCUUACCAAGGCAACGAUGCGUAGCCGACCUGAGGGGGUGAUCGGCCACACUGGAACGGAGACACGGUCCAGACUCCUACGGGAGGCAGCAGUAGGGAAUCUUCCGCAAUGGGCGAAAGCCUGACGGAGCAACGCCGCGUGAGUGAUGAAGGUCUUCGGAUCGUAAAACUCUGUUAUUAGGGAAGAACAAAUGUGUAAGUAACUAUGCACGUCUUGACGGUACCUAAUCAGAAAGCCACGGCUAACUACGUG